ACUGUAACCACAAGCUAUAAUACCUUGACUUUAACCACGGGGGACACGGGGGACUUAAGUGCAUGGAAUGGAGGGGGAAUAAUUAUUCUAUAAUACUAUGUAUUCAACAGCGGCUCAGUUCCACAUUUUAAGCCUGCUGGAGCACAUUAAGCAGCAGCAGGACCAGCUGGUGGCCAAGGUCAAUCACCUGAGCAGCAGGGUGCUCAACACCUCAACACCUCAAGAGCCAGAGUGUCCUGAAUGCAUUCAGCUGCCCAUCGAAUCACUGGAAGUGGUGGAUGAGCUUGAAGCAUUCCUGAAAGACGCUGCCAAUGCAGCAGCCAAACAAAGAAUGAUUUCUUCUUUGGCCACGAUUUGUGGGCAAGAUGUGAAGAGAGUGGCGUGGAACAUACUCUCUCGGAUGUUCACUGAAGAAGUGGCCAAGACCAUAAGCUGGAAGGGGGCAAACGGCAAGAGGGCAUUCGGUCACAUGUCGUCAAAGACACUGCUGUACCGUGCUGUACGUGCAAAUGGUUUGUGUCGCACAGCCACAGACACAGACAUUCAACGAUAUGCCAUAAGAUGGUUUAACUUGGUUGCAGACCGUGGUGCGGCGAGGAGGCGCCUGACCAACCGGUCUAACCAGGCUGAGGCCGAUGAUUAGGCUACUUAUGUUCAUGUGUUCUUUUGUUAAAUAAAAUGUUUUAUUUCUUUCA
Molecule: long non-coding RNA, 695 nt
Organism: Cyprinus carpio (common carp)
Lineage: Eukaryota; Metazoa; Chordata; Actinopteri; Cypriniformes; Cyprinidae
Source: Ensembl